RNAcentral lists this ribosomal RNA (253 nucleotides) under uncultured bacterium. Its description in RNAcentral is "partial 16S ribosomal RNA". It matches the Rfam family "Bacterial small subunit ribosomal RNA", at positions 524 to 776 of the family's 1533-position model. The record is from RNAcentral.
UACGGAGGGAGCUAGCGUUGUUCGGAAUUACUGGGCGUAAAGCGCACGUAGGCGGCUUUGUAAGUUAGAGGUGAAAACCCGGGGCUCAACUCCGGAAUUGCCUUUAAGACUGCAUCGCUUGAAUCCGGGAGAGGUGAGUGGAAUUCCGAGUGUAGAGGUGAAAUUCGUAGAUAUUCGGAAGAACACCAGUGGCGAAGGCGGCUCACUGGACCGGUAUUGACGCUGAGGUGCGAAAGCGUGGGGAGCAAACAGG